GCAGUCGAGCGACUGAUUAGAAGCUUGCUUCUAUGACGUUAGCGGCGGACGGGUGAGUAACACGUGGGCAACCUGCCUGUAAGACUGGGAUAACUUCGGGAAACCGAAGCUAAUACCGGAUAGGAUCUUCUCCUUCAUGGGAGAUGAUUGAAAGAUGGUUUCGGCUAUCACUUACAGAUGGGCCCGCGGUGCAUUAGCUAGUUGGUGAGGUAACGGCUCACCAAGGCAACGAUGCAUAGCCGACCUGAGAGGGUGAUCGGCCACACUGGGACUGAGACACGGCCCAGACUCCUACGGGAGGCAGCAGUAGGGAAUCUUCCGCAAUGGACGAAAGUCUGACGGAGCAACGCCGCGUGAGUGAUGAAGGCUUUCGGGUCGUAAAACUCUGUUGUUAGGGAAGAACAAGUACGAGAGUAACUGCUCGUACCUUGACGGUACCUAACCAGAAAGCCACGGCUAACUACGUGCCAGCAGCCGCGGUAAUACGUAGGUGGCAAGCGUUAUCCGGAAUUAUUGGGCGUAAAGCGCGCGCAGGCGGUUUCUUAAGUCUGAUGUGAAAGCCCACGGCUCAACCGUGGAGGGUCAUUGGAAACUGGGGAACUUGAGUGCAGAAGAGAAAAGCGGAAUUCCACGUGUAGCGGUGAAAUGCGUAGAGAUGUGGAGGAACACC
Molecule: ribosomal RNA, 670 nt
Filed under: Bacillus sp. FJAT-4394
Lineage: Bacteria; Bacillati; Bacillota; Bacilli; Caryophanales; Bacillaceae
Description: bacterial SSU rRNA
Rfam family: Bacterial small subunit ribosomal RNA
Source: RNAcentral